AGUUGGCCUAUUCCAACAUCACCCGUCUCUAUGUAUUGUUGGAGCAUGAGAAGGGGGCGAACCUACAGAUCCAAAACUACAGGAUCUCCAGUACACAGGACCACAACAGGAUAUCAAGAGGAGUCCCAGAGAGAGCCCCUAAUCAGUGGUGCAGCAGAAACCAGAGACUUCAAGCCAGACCCAUGACUCGUGGCAAUGGGCACUUGCCACUAAAGAUAAUGGACUAAAGGGGCACUGUGUCACUCAUCAUUGAACAAACACUCCAGGAAGUAGCCACUGCAGACAGAAGAGAACAAAUCUCAUUAAAAGUCCUGACCUGGUGGACUUCUGUUCUAAGCAAAGAAGACACAGAACAACAAACAGUGCAGCAAGACUGCCCUUGACAAGUGAAGACACAUCUGCACUACCUCGCCUCCAGAACGGUGAGCUAGAUAAACCUUUAUUACUCAUAAUUUACUCACUUCUGGUCAUUCAGGUUUUAUAACAGAAAACGGACAAAGAAUCAGCAUUUGAAGAGGGAAUGGAAGGUGUCUUCAGCAGCGGGAACUCUGAGGGAAUGAGUGAGAAGCAGAUAACAUCUUGAGUGAAUGUAUGUUGUUAACAUGGGCAUGGUCAUGCCGGGGACCCCAGUGCCUUAAACUCACGGGAGUGACAAAACCUUCCCUGGGUGAGACUCGGAGGCAUGGCAAAGCCUUCCUCCAGUCCAAGGAUGAGUAUUAUGACAAGGAUGUGCAAAACCUAGCAACCACAGCUUUCCCCUCUUGAAUGAUGUCCUGAAACAGCUGAACUACAAAGAAC
Myodes glareolus (Bank vole) is the source of this 798-nucleotide non-coding RNA. NCBI's taxonomy places the organism in Eukaryota, Metazoa, Chordata, Mammalia, Rodentia, Cricetidae. The record is from RefSeq and is a predicted model, not a curated record.